GGGGAAUUUUCCGCAAUGGGCGAAAGCCUGACGGAGCAAGACCGCGUGGGGGAGGAAGGCCUUCUGGGUCGUAAACCCCUUUUCUCAGGGAAGAAGAUCUGACGGUACCUGAGGAAUCAGCCUCGGCUAACUCCGUGCCAGCAGCCGCGGUAAUACGGAGGAGGCAAGCGUUAUCCGGAAUUAUUGGGCGUAAAGCGUCCGCAGGUGGCUUUUCAAGUCUGCUGUCAAAGACAGAAGCUCAACUUCUGAGAGGCAGUGGAAACUGGAAAGCUAGAGAACGGUAGGGGUAGAGGGAAUUCCCAGUGUAGCGGUGAAAUGCGUAGAGAUUGGGAAGAACACCGGUGGCGAAAGCGCUCUACUGGGCCGUAUCUGACACUCAGGGACGAAAGCUAGGGUAGCGAAUGGGAUUAGAUACCCCAGUAGUCAAGGGG
RNAcentral lists this ribosomal RNA (431 nucleotides) under Oscillatoriales cyanobacterium H8A1_9. Its description in RNAcentral is "bacterial SSU rRNA". It matches the Rfam family "Bacterial small subunit ribosomal RNA", at positions 356 to 801 of the family's 1533-position model. The record is from RNAcentral. Lineage: Bacteria; Bacillati; Cyanobacteriota; Cyanophyceae; Oscillatoriales.